This 252-nucleotide ribosomal RNA is filed under the name uncultured bacterium. RNAcentral describes it as "partial 16S ribosomal RNA". It matches the Rfam family "Bacterial small subunit ribosomal RNA", at positions 524 to 776 of the family's 1533-position model. The record is from RNAcentral.
UACGAAGGGGGCUAGCGUUGUUCGGAAUCACUGGGCGUAAAGGCGCGUAGGCGGCUUUAUAAGUCGGGGGUGAAAGCCUGUGGCUCAACCACAGAAUUGCCUUCGAUACUGUAGAGCUUGAGACCGGAAGAGGUAAGUGGAACUGCGAGUGUAGAGGUGAAAUUCGUAGAUAUUCGCAAGAACACCAGUGGCGAAGGCGGCUUACUGGUCCGGUUCUGACGCUGAGGUGCGAAAGCGUGGGGAGCAAACGGG